CUAACCUAAUGGCUGGAACAGAAGAGAGAUUGGGGAACCUGCUAGCGCAGAGAAUCAAUGCGCCAAAGCUGUGGCGAUCUCACUCCAAAUCUUGUUCACCUUCGCAAUCUCACUCUCAAUCUCACUCGCGCUCUUGAUCUCGAUCUCGAUUGUGCUUUCAAUCUGGCUCGCACUUCGCUCUUUGAAUCUCUCUCGUUUCAACAAACUCUAUUUUUAUCUCUCGAUCAUUUCUAGGGUUUGCUACUCUCUGUUUUGAGAUCUGUUGGCUAUGAAUUGACUGAAUUCCUAAUGUUAAGAUCUUCUCAAUUCAAACCCGAGAGUCUCGAGCAGGACACUGAUGAUUCCAGAAUUGCUUCUCCAGCUGCUAAGCAGGGUCACAGAGAUAUAGUUGUGGGACUAACUCCAAGGGCCUAAUGUGAUAGAUGAAGCUUUUCUAAAGUCUUAAUUUGCAGGUUCUAAGCUAUGAGUAUCAUAUUCUAAGACUAAGUUUCGACAAAACAGAAGAGCAUUGAGUGUGAUCAAUCAGAAUCUAGUGCAAGCUAAGGUCAACCUAAUCCUUGUGUUGUUACCAAUAGGCCUUUGCCAUUAUCAACUAAUCUUAUUUUACUUUACUUUUUAUUUUGGAUAGAAAUAUUAAUUCUAUAUGACUUAUAAGCUAAUUAUGUUAAAAUCUUAAAUGCCUUCAACUAGGUGAAUAUAUUUAUGAUUAGAUUUUAUAUUGACGUUGUGUCAAAUGUUAAAUUUUUAGUUUUAAGUGAUUUUCCAUAUUCCACUUGUUAAGUAAAAUACUGUCCCAAUUUUAAACACUGUUUUGUGUGAAUUUGCUGUGUUUGAUUUUAUUCCUUUUUCUGUGUUCUAGAACUUGACUUUAUUACUUUGUUUUUCUUGAUUGCUUAUUGUUGUUGUUUCGCAUGAGGUGUUUAAAAGGGCUAUAAUGCAGCCUGGGCCACCUGAGCAUUUUGUUAUUUUAAAAGUGCCAAAGGAUAACAAUAAAGCCUUGAAGCUCGGAGUCGGAAUAGGUUUAGAAAUUGCUACAUGGGAAGAUCGUUAUGAUGACACGAACUUGUAGGCAAGGAUAAUCCGGUGAAGCAAGUGAAUUGUGAAUUUUGUGCACUGCUGCUGUUGUUACUGUAUUUCGGUUUAAGACAUAAGAUGUUUGGUUUAUCUAGAGCUAACUUAGAGUACCUGUUUUGAGGAUUCAGUCAGAUAUAAAGAUAGAAGUUACAUGGGGAAAUGUUGAAGAGGAGAGAGUGGUCAGAGAUAGAAAAGCUUUCCUGCUGCACAGUCGAUCGAUUUGUUGAUACCUCGAUAUUCAUGGCCAUCAAGGCAAUACAGCAUGUCAUGGAAUCCAAUAUAAAGAAUGAAUCAAAUUCUCCAAGUUCAAUUCUGCAUGAAGAGCGCGUAGGAGACUUGUCAGUUGUUGUCAAAUGCGAUAUUCGCAAUGGAAAUAGAGUUUAAAUGCUAUAAGUAUUUUUUUCCUCAUUUUAUUUGCAUUACGAAGCAAACUUAUACAAUGAUUAUUGAUUAAUA
Molecule: long non-coding RNA, 1530 nt
Organism: Arachis duranensis
Lineage: Eukaryota; Viridiplantae; Streptophyta; Magnoliopsida; Fabales; Fabaceae
Exons: 6
Source: RefSeq, a predicted model, not a curated record